This is a long non-coding RNA of Uloborus diversus, 438 nucleotides long. RefSeq lists it as uncharacterized. NCBI's taxonomy places the organism in Eukaryota, Metazoa, Arthropoda, Arachnida, Araneae, Uloboridae. The transcript is spliced from 3 exons. The record is from RefSeq and is a predicted model, not a curated record.
AACGGCAGCAUGAAACCGGCCUAAAGAAAUGGAACCUGAAAUAUAUUAUGUUACAAUUUAUGACCUUGACAGCUUACAGAAAACACUUUGAGGAGAUUCUCGAUACCACCGCCACCUGUGCUUCUUGAUGGCGUAGCUGAGGGAGGCGCUUUCGACGGAGCAAGCAUCCUUAAUCUUAUUUACCCACCUAACGUCAGGCUGUGCGGAUGUUUCAUCUGUUCUCCCAGUUUGAUGCAGCACAUGUUGUGAGAUGCUGAAAAGAGAAAGAUCCAUUCAAUAUAUAUAUUCUGAAGAUGAAUAGUUCAUAAUUAAAGGAAAGAGAUAAUGGGUAUAUGUAAAUAAAAAGAUUGCGACAAACUUCUUUGACUGAUUACUAACAUACAACUUCUAAAAUAUGUAACACGAUUUAUUUCAGAAUCGUGACUUUAUAAUGAUGGA